Molecule: ribosomal RNA, 119 nt
Filed under: Pteropus alecto (black flying fox)
Lineage: Eukaryota; Metazoa; Chordata; Mammalia; Chiroptera; Pteropodidae
Source: RNAcentral
GUCUACGGCCAUGCUACCCUGAACAAGCCCAACCUCAUCUGAUCUCAGAAGCUAAGCAGGGCUGAGCCUGGUUAGUACUUGGAUGGGAGACCACCUAGGAAGACCAGGUGCUGUAGGCG